This is a long non-coding RNA of Lagopus leucura (white-tailed ptarmigan), 1689 nucleotides long. RefSeq lists it as uncharacterized. Lineage: Eukaryota; Metazoa; Chordata; Aves; Galliformes; Phasianidae. The record is from RefSeq and is a predicted model, not a curated record. The transcript is spliced from 3 exons.
CCCUCCUCUGGAGUUUUAUGACCAGUCCAGGAUAUGGCACAGAGCUGAGGUGGGGAGAGCAGUGUCUGAUCCAUCAACUCAAGGAAUGUGGCUGAGCUUUACUCUUCACUGGGAACUCCUGGUGUAGCAGCAAGAUGUCUGGGGCCUGGCUGACUGAGGUGUGUCAAGUGUGUUGAAUGUGUCCACUUGUUUCAUCUUCAACUGAGAUUUGAUAGAAACGUACAUAAUUCAAAACUAAUCCAAGGACGAAAAUAAUUCAUCUGGGGUUCAAGGUACACAAUAUAUCAAGGUACUGUUUCUGAGACAAUAGAUUGGCCUUAUAUCGAGUCUAAUUCCCCACAUACAUCCAUUAUUUGUGUUAGAGAGAUAUUUUGCUUCAAGGAAAGAAGAACCAGCAUGGCUCAAACAUGGAUAGAUCUAUCUUGCUUCCCUGAAACUCGAAACAAAGACAAAGAAGUCAGUGGAAUGGAAUGAAGAGACACUUCAGGAAUCCUAAGCCUACACUUUGUGCACUGUGGAGAGUUCAGAGAAGCAGUGUGCUUAUCCCUGUGAUGACAAAUGAAGAUUAAAUGAAGGUAUUCACCAGACAAUUCCUCCAGUGUUCCCUGAUCUGAAGUGCACACUGAACAUUGUGGAAGAUGGCUUAGCGCUUCUGGCUCAGUGGAAGGAAAGCCUGCAGCUCUGGCAGCAUUAAGGAGCUAAACAAAACCAAGUCUGGAACAUCCUCACUUUCAGGCCCAUGGUUCCAGAUUGGCUGAAAACUUGCAUGGAGCCUGUCCCCGUGCAGAGAUCUGUGUUAGCCAUGGAGAAAGAAGCACAUCUGGCACUGGGUGCAAUCUGGAGCUUCCCAGUAACUUCUGAGACUCUCAAACUUUUUGGUGCUCUUACAGCACUUAGAACUAUGGCACUCUGCACGAGCAGAAAACUUGUUUGAAUAAAAAAUAUGGAUAAGUUUUAUCUUCAUGGCCAGCUACUGACUCUAACAAGAUGGAAUUGAAAUGGGAGAAAUUUAGCUGCUGUACAUAAGUGUCUGCAUGUGGCCUGGUAUUGUAAGAAGGAGACUCAAGUUCUGCUUUUUUAAGAUAUAUCUACAAUCUCUGUAGCCACGCUGUUUCAAGAGGAAGGACACCUGCCUAUGUACAACUUAGUGCAAAUCUUUCCCUCUUCCUUAGUGUCCAUGAGGUGCCCCAGGCCCAGGAAAUGGAAUACCUUCCAGUAGGUCACAACCACUCCUGAGUGAACAUCAGAAGAUGGCUUUGGUCAGCACCUGCCUGAUGGGGCUUCCUGCAGCCUGCCAGAAUGACAGCACGAGAGCCAGACAUUUGCAGCACAUGUCUCAAGAUGUUUCUGAGGAUCAGGUUUGGCCCAGGCAGCCUUGGGUACAUUUAUAACCCCUUGACCUCUUCUUCCUUUUUAAAGCUCUGUUAUUUCUACUGCAAACAAUCUCCUCUGUCCACUGAUGGAUAGACCCACCACUGAUGACCUUCUCUUCAUUGCCAAAGUAGAAGUUUGUAGUUUAGUAGUCAUCUAUCUCUUUGUUAAUCUACUCUCCUUAGUGCUGACUGCAUGUCCUUGAGGAUAUUAGCCAAAUUUAACCUGAAACAAGAUACCCGUCUUUUGGCAAGCGCAAAGACUGAAAUUUAUGCUAUGACAAGAACCUGUGAAAAUUCUUGAAGAUGAUCUAUUUCC